Eutrema salsugineum is the source of this 1245-nucleotide long non-coding RNA. RefSeq lists it as uncharacterized. The record is from RefSeq and is a predicted model, not a curated record. Lineage: Eukaryota; Viridiplantae; Streptophyta; Magnoliopsida; Brassicales; Brassicaceae. The transcript is spliced from 4 exons.
AACAUAUUUUUUCUUCUUCCUUCUCUGUCUAGGUCGAAUUUCUUCUUCUCCUCCAUUCAAACCCUUGAUUCUAGGGUUUACAAUUUCUCAAUUGAUUUGGGGGUUUUGUUUCUGGGUUUGAGUUUUCAUUCAAGUGUAUUCUCAUUCAAUUGUUUUUGAGUUUUCGGUCAUAGGCACAUGUAUUCUCAUUCAAUUGUUUUUGAAUUUUCGCUCAUAUCCACAUGACCGAUUCUGGGUUUCAUAAUUUGGUGAUUCUGGGUUUGCUAAUUUCGAUUCUGGGUUUGCUAUUUUUUGUUUACUUCAGUAUCAGUGGCGCUUGCAUUACGAUCCACCCACAAAUCCUGCAGCUCCUGCUCGUAUUCCUGGUGCUUAGCUUCGGUUCCAAGAUUUAGCGUUGACAGGCUUGAACCUCAAGAUAACUCAUCUGAGGCCAGAGCUCUCAUCACAAGGCUCACCGAGGAAAAGAACUCUGGGGUUCAACUGAAUAACAACUUCAGCAAGAAUUGGUAUGGACGAGGAACUUCCGAAACUGCUUUUCGAGCCUGGUUUUGUGAAUGAUAUUGACAAGAUCAACAAUCGAUGCAUUCUUAACACAAUGGACCCCGUUAAGAAAGCACUUUCAGACGAAUACAAAAAAGUUCUGCUAGACCCUGUCUUUGGACCUGUUUUGUCGAUUAUCGAGAACGACAUGGGGUGUCCACGUUGAUCGUAUAUAUACUCCGGUCAAUGUCAAGAACAACCACUGGAUAUCUUUGUGCAUCAAUUUCGAGCUGAGAACAGUGGAAGUUUUUGAUUGCGACGGGGGCAAACACAGCCGGUACGUGGAUGCAUUCACAAACAUCAUCCCUAGAGUUGUGAAGGAAGUUCAAAGUUACAAAGAGAAGAAGCAACUGGUUAUUAAACCGUACACAGUGAAGUAUGUUCCGAUGAGGCUUGGGAUCAAUAGGAGCUCAUGUGAUUGUGGAGUUUAUGCGCUCAAAUUCAUUGAGUGUCACAUGCUUGGACUACAAUUGUCUUUGCUUAACGACGACAACAUUUACGCAGCUAGGAUGAAGAUCACCUAUGAUCCUUGGAAAGCAGCACAUGAUCCAAUAUUGAUUGAGCGGAUGAGAAAGUAUGUGCCUCCGAAAACAGUGUGCUCAGAUGAUAUUGUAGACUUGUUAUAGGUUUGACAUAUUUCGUUUUAGGUGGUUCAGUUUUUAAUUUUUAUUUGGCAUCGUAUGUUUCGUUGCUUGACAUUGUGUU